AACGAACGCUGGCGGCAUGCCUAACACAUGCAAGUCGAACGAGACCUUCGGGUCUAGUGGCGCACGGGUGCGUAACGCGUGGGAACCUGCCCUUAGGUUCGGAAUAACUCCCCGAAAGGGGUGCUAAUACCGGAUAAUGUCUUCGGACCAAAGAUUUAUCGCCUUUGGAUGGGCCCGCGUUGGAUUAGCUAGUUGGUAGGGUAAAAGCCUACCAAGGCGACGAUCCAUAGCUGGCCUGAGAGGAUGAUCAGCCACACUGGGACGGAGACACGGCCCAGACUCCUACGGGAGGCAGCAGUGGGGAAUAUUGGACAAUGGGCGAAAGCCUGAUCCAGCAAUGCCGCGUGAGUGAUGAAGGCCUUAGGGUUGUAAAGCUCUUUUACCCGGGAUGAUAAUGACAGUACCGGGAGAAUAAGCUCCGGCUAACUCCGUG
This 433-nucleotide ribosomal RNA is filed under the name uncultured bacterium. Its description in RNAcentral is "partial 16S ribosomal RNA". It matches the Rfam family "Bacterial small subunit ribosomal RNA", at positions 29 to 507 of the family's 1533-position model. The record is from RNAcentral.